Molecule: ribosomal RNA, 400 nt
Filed under: phytoplankton environmental sample
Lineage: Eukaryota
Description: partial small subunit ribosomal RNA
Rfam family: Eukaryotic small subunit ribosomal RNA
Source: RNAcentral
AGCUCCAAUAGCGUAUAUUAAAGUUGUUGCGGUUAAAAAGCUCGUAGUUGGAUCUCGGCAGCCAGGGGGCGGUUCGGAGCAUUCCGCUACUGCCCCAUUUGGCUGUGUGGUUGGCGGAGGCUGCGCGGUGCUCUUCGCUGAGUGUCACGUGGUGCCGUCAGGUUUACUUUGAAAAAAUUAGAGUGCUCAAAGCAGGCUUCACACGCUUGAAUAUUCGUGCAUGGAAUAAUGGAAUAGGAACUCGUUUCUAUUUUGUUGGUUUUCGGAAAUUGAGUUAAUGAUUAAUAGGGACAAUUGGGGGCAUUAGUAUUCAGACGACAGAGGUGAAAUUCUUGGACCGUCUGAAGACUAACUACUGCGAAAGCAUUUGCCAAGAGUGUUUUCAUUAAUCAAGAACGAA